AGGAGUGCGGCUGGAGGAGGAAGCGGGUGUGCGCGGAGUGCCCUUGGCAGGCUCUGGGUUGAUGGCCCCGGAGAACCCAACCCAGGCAGUGGGGUUUGCCUCGGGGGCGGGGCGGGGCGGGGCAGAAGGUCGCUGUUUCUUUUUCACGUGAAGGGGUGAAAUCCAGCCCGUCCCUGGUGCAUCAGCAACUGCAAACUAGGCACAGCCUUCGCAGCGCCCCCCCCCCAAACACUCGCUACCCUCUCUCGGUCGCCGUCAGAUCCUGACUCAGUAGGGAAGGUCCGGGAGCUCUUGCCUGGACGGGAGACGGGCGCCUGUGGAGGGGAGCAGUGUCAGCUCGGGGAGAAAGUAUUUGACGAUUUGCUGCACUUCCUGUUAAGCGCAGCAGAGCCAGAUUGCCAGGAGCAUUGGCAACUCCUCCUCCUCCUGGCAGUUCCAGUCCCUGAUCCUCCGCAGCCCUGCCUGGGGUUCCGGCUCGCAGCAGGAAAGGGGAACCACAUUGCAAUGUUUGUUUGCACCACCGCCUUCUCCGGGCCUGCGUGAGCUGCUGGCCGCUGUGGCCCUGCCUCGCUGCUGAGGCUGCACAGAGGAAGGCGCAUUUCAGGGAGCGCUGGCACCGCCUCCGGCUUGACAGAGGGGGACGGACCUCGUCGCAGGAUCCGGACUCCAGGGAUUGUAUUUAUUUGCAAACGGGGUCGAGCUCAACUUCUGCACCUUCCUCUUUCUCCCCAGGGCACGUGUAAUGGGGGACCUGUCACUUUGCUGUGCAGAGGGGAGGGAACUUUCUCACCCACCAAGAGUCUCCGGAUAUUUUUGAACGGGCGGAAGAGUUAUAAACUGAACCGCAGGUUUAAGGAUGUCUCAUGAUCUUGCUCCUGGAGGAGACGGGGGCCCCUAGCAGCUCUCCCAGCCCCCACUUAAAAAACCGCAGCUGGAAGAAACUCCUCCCUUCCCCUUUGGUUCCCCCACCCCCUUUCUCCCCAGUUCCUGAGGGUUUGAAAACAAGCCCAGAUUGGCUGCUGGCGGUGGACAGAGGUGGAAGAGGAGCCAUCCUCCGGAGUCAAGCCGUGCUGAGCGGGAUGGGCAGCACUGCCAUGGACACCAAGAAGAAAGAUGCCUCCAGCAGCGGCAGCAGGAAAGGCUCCAGCCAGAAGAGACGCAUGUUGCGAGUGCACAUCCCGGAUCUUAGCUCGUUUGCCAUGCCAUUCCUGGAUGGAGAUGUGGAGAGCUCAGACAAAAGUGCUUCUCGAAAGGUGGAAGAGAGCUACCAUAUGGGCAGCCCUUCGAAAGGCCUUUUCUCAAAAGGGCUCCAAAAUCGACCUUCCAGCCCCGUUUCUGCCCCUGUGAGACCUAAACAUAGCCCAGGUUCACCAAAAACAGUGUUCCCCUUCCCAAAUCAGGAGUCUCCCCCACGCUCCCCACGCCGAAUGAGCUUCAGUGGGAUCUUCAGGUCCUCUUCCAAAGAAUCCUCUCCCAGUUCUAACCCGUCUACCUCGCCCGGUGGCAUCAAGUUUUUCACCAGAUCAAGAAAAACCUCCGGCCUCUCCUCUUCUCCAUCUACCCCAACACAAGUGACCAAGCAGCCUGCAUUUCCUCUUGAAUCCUAUAAACAUGAACCUGAGAGACUAGAAACGCGGUUUCACUCUUCUCCUCCGGACACAGGGCAGAGGUUUACUCUGCCUCCACCCCAAAAUGCAGCCAAGCCUCCCACGGUGAUGCCAACUCCCUGUGCUACCUCAAAAACAGCGGCGGCGGCAGCAGCAGCUGCGGCGGCGGCGGCUCCGGCUUCUCCUCAGCCCCCGGCCGCCUCCGAAGGGAUGCUGGAGAAACUAGAGCUCGACGAUGAAGCAUCUGAAGAAUCGGAAAGCGACAUCUACAUGCGAUUCAUGAAGUCUAACAAGUGUUAUGACAUAGUUCCAACAAGUUCUAAGCUUGUUGUUUUUGACACUACGUUACAAGUAAAGAAGGCUUUCUUCGCCUUGGUGGCAAAUGGUGUUCGAGCAGCUCCGCUGUGGGAGAGUAAAAAACAGAGUUUUGUAGGAAUGUUAACAAUUACAGAUUUCAUUAAUAUACUGCAUAGAUACUAUAAGUCUCCAAUGGUUCAGAUCUAUGAAUUGGAGGAGCACAAGAUUGAAACAUGGAGGGAGCUUUAUUUACAAGAAACUUUUAAGCCUUUAGUGAACAUCUCCCCGGAUGCAAGCCUUUUUGAUGCUGUAUAUUCAUUGAUCAAAAACAAAAUCCACAGAUUGCCAGUUAUUGAUCCUGUCAGUGGGAAUGCACUUUAUAUACUUACCCAUAAAAGAAUCCUCAAGUUCCUCCAGCUUUUUGUGUCAGAAAUGCCAAAGCCUGCCUUUAUGAAGAAGAACCUGGAUGAACUUGGGAUAGGAACUUAUCACAACAUUGCCUUCAUACAUCCAGACACUCCUAUUAUUAAAGCCUUGAACAUAUUUGUAGACAGAAGGAUAUCUGCAUUACCAGUUGUGGAUGAGUCAGGAAAAGUUGUAGAUAUUUAUUCCAAAUUUGAUGUCAUAAACCUGGCUGCUGAAAAAACCUAUAAUAAUCUAGAUAUCACAGUAACGCAAGCCCUCCAGCACCGUUCUCAGUAUUUUGAAGGUGUUGUGAAGUGCAGUAAGCUGGAAACACUGGAGACCAUUGUUGAUAGAAUAGUGAAGGCUGAGGUGACAGCUCCCUGAGAAGGAAAAUCACUUUUACAAGAGGAACCUGCUUCUUGAGACUUGCCACUUGAUAGCUGCAGUAUAGUUCAAUUCACACAACUUCAAACAUUCACUUAACAUCUAAUAGGAAAAACUGUUCAUCGUCUGGUAGUAGUGAAUGAAGCAGAUAGCAUUGUGGGUAUCAUCUCCCUCUCUGACAUUCUACAAGCAUUGGUGCUCACGCCAGCAGGUGCCAAACAAAAGGAGAGUGAAACUGAGUGACUGCUGUGAAUGUAUAAAGCUUUCUAGGAGAACUUGAACAAAGUUUCUGAGUCAAGUUUGCCUCAAGAACACUGACUGCAAUAGAAACGAGAAGAACGGUUAUGAGAAUGUGUAUUGAAACUCAGUGAUGGGUAAUGUCUGUAUUUUCCCCCAGUGGUGUCGCAAAAAAAGCAGCAUGACAAAAAAGCUUAUAUGUUAAAAAAUGUAGGCUUGCAUUUCAAAAUGUCUUCAAAACAUUUGCUGAAAGACUAUGUCCUUCGUUAAAAUGCACUGUAUUCUGAAACUGUUUCAUUCGUAUUUGACAGAAGUCACUGGUCAGCAACAGACAUCUGACAUAAGGCAAGUGUAUGGCAUAUUCAUAUCAUAGUGCCUUAUGUCAAAUACAGCAAUAUGUCAUCAGUUGCCCAUCACUGUCAGAGGAAGUAUUGUGCUAAACAAGACACUGUAUUUGAAUGUGAAAGUCUUUAAACCUAAAACCAAAUCAGUUUCAGUUCUCAUUAGAUUUGUCAUAAAGGUUGUAAUUUGAAUAUCAGUAGAUUACUUUAAAACUUUAAUGACGGUUUCGUGUUUUUAAUGUUGCAUUCUGAACUGAUAUGUAAAACAAGACUGAUUUUAAAAACAGCUUUAUUUAUUUUUACUUUCAUGGCAAUUUUUUACACAUUUUUGGUGGAUAGCUAAAAUUUCACCAUGUCCAUUAAUAAACUGUUGAUUGUUAUACAAAAAAAUGGCAGAUUUUUCUCAUUUUUUAAAAAUUGGGAGCUGCAGAAGCUGUAGCUUAUAGAUCAGCCCACAUGACUUCAGUCUAAGGUUUUCAAAAGCACAUGUUGAAAAGUGUUAUUCUGUACUGUAAUAGACAGGUACCGUGGAGGAGACUAAGUGCCAGAGAGCUAUAUAUUUUCCUGUGUACUAAAAUGUUAAAUCAUGUUUGUAAGAUUGCAGAUACGAUUUUUUGUAAAUUAUAAUGGAUAUACAGUUUUCGUACAGAUGCAAAGAGCGAGGAAAGGUUUUUGCUAAUGUAAAUGCACCGUAAAGCUUAGAGAUCACACUAUAUAAUUGUAGACUUUCUUCUGCAGAUGGAAGAAAAUAAACAAACCUUACUAUAUCAGUUUGUUCAUAGCAGUUUUUGAAAAUGCCAGGUAUUUUUGCAUGUACAGAUUUUACAUGCUGCUUACAUCCUUCUUUUCCCACCUGGAUAUUUGUUAUAAUGUAAGACAUUGAAUCACUCUUAUCUCCCUUCCCUCUUUACAGGCUAAUUAUACAUUAAAGGGACACUGUUACUUUUUAAAAGCAACUGUCUUUAUCUGGGUUAUUGUGCAACACCUUACACUAUUAAGACUGAAUGAAUGUUCAGUCUCGCAUUGAUGGGGUAUUUCUCCAUUUCUCCCAGAUAGGACAAUGAAAAUGGAUUGAUUUGUCCCUCUCUAAUUUCAGGCACAGGAUGGGAAAUGUUUAAAUUAAACUGAAAACUACAUUAAUGACUUGUUUUAAAAAAUAUAUAUAAAAACCUGUCUUGUCAAAACUUGCUUUCUAUAAGCCUGAAGUUUGGGUCUACUGUUGACAACUCCUUUUUUAAUAGCACCUCAGACUUUUUUCAGUAUAAAAUCUGAACACAUUCACAUAGUACACGGUCAAAAAAAUUGUUCACUAAUUUUUUCUCUCCCUUGCUUAUUCCCUCUGAAAAGUUAAAGGGUCUUUCUCUAAACUUUUCCUUUCUGACUAGAUAAAAAUUGACUCCCAUAUAGUUCGAAUGGUGCUGAAAUUUAAAUGGCUGCUUUGGUUUAACAAUAACCUCAGCAUAUAGAGUUAAUCAUCUCCAUCAUAAAUACCAUUGUCCAAGCUCUGGGAAUAAUGUUGGUGGAGAGAGAAAAAUAAAACUGAAUGGAGUGGCUCUUGUUUUUUCUCUCCUGUGGCAGUGUGGUAGAAUUUUUUUUCUUUGCACCUUCUUCAAAGUUAAGGCCUCAACAUUGUCCCUUUUUUAGAGAGCACUUGCAUAAUGUAUGUGUUCAACACGGUCUGUUUUAUUGGUGGUGUGUAUUUGUAAGCCCACCGUUCUGCCGAAGAAGGGAUGAAAAUUUUAUUCAAUUGAUGUGGUAAGCGAGACUGAUCAAAGCAGAAGUUUAGUCACUUGAGAAUUAAUUAUAUUGGCUGAACUCCCUCCUGUCAUAGGGAGAAUCACAAUCCGGUCUAAGUCUUUAAGAAAAAGAAUUAUCUGAAUUAUUGCAUAAUAGUUAAAAUCAAAAUGCUCUAAAUUCAUAAAGGAGUGAGAGACCCACAAAAGGAGGCUGAGGUUUUUGCUUCUGAUUCAGCAAAGCACCGAAGUGUGUGCUUAAAGUUAGUGUUUGCUGAAUUGGGUCCUAAGUCCAGAACAGUACCCUUUUCUCCCACUUUUUAUUUGGGCAUUGCUGAGCGCACAAAUACAUUGUAAGACCCUCUGAUAAAAGGACUACAACCCUGUUACAUGCCACUGGGGAAAUAUUUAUCACAAAUACAGGUGGUGUACAGACUGCUGUUCUAUUCCCAAUAUGUACUGUUCCCAAUACAGCAUUAUCUGUUUUAAGACACACGAGUUCUUACGUUCGUAUGCUGUAAAUAAUAUGUAUGGCCUAUGUACUGCAUUUGGUAAAGUGUUGAAUUUGAGUCAUCUACAUCAAAAUAAUUGAACAGCUGUAAAAUAAACAUAUAAAGCAUUGCUCUUAUACCACAAAAUGAAAUGCAUUCAAAUUUGUUUGUGUGUUUAAAAAACCAUGAAUGUAAGGAGUUUUGUUUUUUUAAUACAAUCAAGUGAAAUGAAAUGUCUGUUACAAAACUUGAAAUAGCUUAGUUUGUGAAAUAAAAUGCCAGUUAGACAA
Molecule: RNA transcript, 5785 nt
Organism: Mauremys mutica (yellowpond turtle)
Lineage: Eukaryota; Metazoa; Chordata; Testudines; Geoemydidae
Gene: PRKAG2
Gene name: protein kinase AMP-activated non-catalytic subunit gamma 2
Exons: 17
Source: RefSeq, a predicted model, not a curated record